AUGUAUGUGUGCAUGUGCAU
RNAcentral lists this non-coding RNA (20 nucleotides) under Macaca mulatta (Rhesus monkey). Its record names the gene mml-miR-297. The record is from miRBase by way of RNAcentral. RNAcentral also lists the same sequence under 1 other name. Lineage: Eukaryota; Metazoa; Chordata; Mammalia; Primates; Cercopithecidae.